This is a long non-coding RNA of Sciurus carolinensis (gray squirrel), 844 nucleotides long. RefSeq lists it as uncharacterized. The transcript is spliced from 3 exons. Lineage: Eukaryota; Metazoa; Chordata; Mammalia; Rodentia; Sciuridae. The record is from RefSeq and is a predicted model, not a curated record.
GGUUAAGCAAGCAGCCGUGUGAUCAUGUCUUCCGACAAAACCUAGAAUCGUAAAGAAGACCAGGUGCUUCUCCCGGGACAAGACCUGGUGCGUGUCCUGGGUCAGAUGCUGGUCCAGCCCGGUUCUGCUGGAGGACACCACCUGUUCCGGACAGCCCGUUUGCUCCAAAUGCUGGACAUGUGCCCAGGGUGUUCCUUGGGUGUGAUUUGACUGUUUAUUUGAUCUCAUGAGAGAGCAAGAGAAAAGCCUUGCUGGUCUCCUGUUACGAGAAUGAACUUGAACGAUGCUCUGCUGCGGACGAAGGCUGCCUUAGGACAGGAGGUGACAGGCGACGUCGGCCAGGAGAAGCAUGCACCCUGGUGACGAGAGGCAGCGCCCUUCUCCGGCCUUCCUCGUCAAAGGAGGGAAACACCAGACUGACCCCAACAGAGGGACACGCUGCACAGUCCCAUCAGCAACCCUCGGAACUGUCAGGGUGUCGGAAACAAGGAGAGUCUGAGAAAAAGUCACAGACGAGAGGAGGCUAAGGAGCCACCAUGACCUGAGUGUCAUGUGGCGUCCUGGAGGGGAACCUGGAAGAGAAAAGGAACAUUUGGGAAAGACUAAGGAAAUCUGGGUAAUACAGUAAGGCUUUCAGUCAAUAAUAAGGUAUAAACAUCCGUCCAUUCGCUGCGGUGAGUGCUCUGUCUCGCCUGUCAGCAUGUUACAGAUAGAGGACGCUGGCCUAGGCCCAUGGGAAAGCUAGACAAGCUUCAUGAUUUUUCUGCAAAUCUAAAACUAAUCUGAAACAAAACAUCUAUUUAAAAAUAAACAGCAUGGCACCAGGCACGGUGGUGCACACCUG